UUUUUGCAUGAGACUGUGAUAAUUGAUAUUCUAAUUUCAAAAUGAGUCAUGUGGUAGGAUGAAACAUGAUGGAAAGUGCAUCCGUGCUGAACUUUUAUAAGUAAACACUAUUUAGUGUGGAUAACAAAUAUGAAUUCUUGAAAAUGUUAAAUAUAAAAAUGAGAUAUUUGAGCCAUUAAAAGUGACCUGGGAAUGAUGUAAUGAAUCAAACAUGAGUUCUGACUAGCACAAAGGAUUCAAGGAAUUCAGGAGCUAUUUUAACUCUGUGUAUCAACCAGUCAGCCAUAUGUCCAAAAAAUUUUGCUGAACAGACAAAUAUCUGAUAUCUUCAUGUAAAUAUGAAGUCAAAUAAACAUGCCUAAAGAUUCAUCUGAGGAUAAGAUAGUGCAGUGUACACACACAACAAACAUUUUUUCACAGAGUGAGUCAUUCAUGUUGAUUUGCAAAAAUCAUAAAACAAAGAAUCGACUUUUGUUUUUUAUUUUGAUCUUGCAUAGGAAAGGUGAUGAAACAGUGUAUUUUUUUUUCUGAGGAUUAAAAACUGCUGAUGAAUCAUUAAAACCUUGGAAACAGUCAAAAUCCACAGGGUAAACCUCCAUAUUUCAGGAGGUCCUAAGGUAUGCAUGUCAAUAUCACAAGUGAAGCCAAUGUGGAAUUUUUGAAAUAUCAAUGCCAUUGACUCUCUGAACUUAUGCGAUGAGUUUUACAUGAACAAUGUAGUUUUAUUUAAAUUCUAAAGCAUUUGACAGUUUCUGUAUGAUCAAAAAUGU
RNAcentral lists this long non-coding RNA (770 nucleotides) under Bos taurus (domestic cattle). RNAcentral's name for it is "long non-coding RNA NONBTAT009197". The record is from RNAcentral. Lineage: Eukaryota; Metazoa; Chordata; Mammalia; Artiodactyla; Bovidae.